This 468-nucleotide ribosomal RNA is filed under the name uncultured bacterium. Its description in RNAcentral is "partial 16S ribosomal RNA". It matches the Rfam family "Bacterial small subunit ribosomal RNA", at positions 28 to 507 of the family's 1533-position model. The record is from RNAcentral.
GACGAACGCUGGCGGCGUGCUUAACACAUGCAAGUCGAACGGAAAGGCCCUGCUUUGGUGGGGUGCUCGAGUGGCGAACGGGUGAGUAACACGUGAGUAACCUGCCCUUGACUUUGGGAUAACUUCAGGAAACUGGGGCUAAUACCGGAUAGGAGCUCCUGCUGCAUGGUGGGGGUUGGAAAGUUUCGGCGGUUGGGGAUGGACUCGCGGCUUAUCAGCUUGUUGGUGGGGUAGUGGCUUACCAAGGCUUUGACGGGUAGCCGGCCUGAGAGGGUGACCGGACACACUGGGACUGAGAUACGGCACAGACUACUACGGGACGCAGCAGUGGGGAAUAUUGCACAAUGGGAGGAAGCCUGAUGCAGCAAAGCAGCGUGCGGGAUGACGGCCUUCGGGUUGUAAACCGAUUUCGCCUGUGACGAAGCGUGAGUGACGGUAAUGGGUAAAGAAGCACCGGCUAACUACGUG